This 23-nucleotide small nuclear RNA is filed under the name Arabidopsis thaliana (thale cress). RNAcentral describes it as "snRNA_09051". The record is from RNAcentral. Lineage: Eukaryota; Viridiplantae; Streptophyta; Magnoliopsida; Brassicales; Brassicaceae.
ACCUCCCGGGAAGUCCUCGUGUU